RNAcentral lists this non-coding RNA (146 nucleotides) under Pseudomonas sp. RNAcentral describes it as "FMN sequence". It matches the Rfam family "FMN riboswitch aptamer (RFN element)". From Rfam's summary of the family: The RFN element is a highly conserved domain that is found frequently in the 5'-untranslated regions of prokaryotic mRNAs that encode for flavin mononucleotide (FMN) biosynthesis and transport proteins. This element is a metabolite-dependent riboswitch that directly binds FMN in the absence of proteins. In Bacillus subtilis, the riboswitch most likely controls gene expression by causing premature transcription termination within the 5' untranslated region of the ribDEAHT operon and precluding access to the ribosome-binding site of ypaA mRNA. The record is from RNAcentral. Lineage: Bacteria; Pseudomonadati; Pseudomonadota; Gammaproteobacteria; Pseudomonadales; Pseudomonadaceae. RNAcentral also lists the same sequence under 1 other name.
CAACGUUCUCAGGGCGGGGUGCGAUUCCCCACCGGCGGUAAUGGCCUUGGCCUAGCCCGCGAGCGCUUGCCAGUUAUGCUUGCAAGGUCAGCAGACCCGGUGUGAUCCCGGGGCCGACGGUAUAGUCCGGAUGAGAGAGAGCGGGA